Molecule: ribosomal RNA, 292 nt
Filed under: uncultured bacterium
Lineage: Bacteria
Description: partial 16S ribosomal RNA
Rfam family: Bacterial small subunit ribosomal RNA
Source: RNAcentral
GUGUCAGCCGCCGCGGUAAUACGAAGGGGGCGAGCGUUGUUCGGAUUUACUGGGCGUAAAGGGCGCGUAGGCGGCCUUGUCAGUCAGGCGUGAAAGCCCCGGGCUCAACCUGGGAACGGCGCUUGGGACGGCGAGGCUGGAGUUCGGGAGAGGAGAGUGGAAUUCCCAGUGUAGAGGUGAAAUUCGUAGAUAUUGGGAAGAACACCGGUGGCGAAGGCGGCUCUCUGGACCGACACUGACGCUGAGGCGCGAAAGCGUGGGGAGCAAACAGGAUUAGAUACCCCCGUAGUCC